Molecule: long non-coding RNA, 225 nt
Filed under: Solanum tuberosum (potato)
Lineage: Eukaryota; Viridiplantae; Streptophyta; Magnoliopsida; Solanales; Solanaceae
Description: long non-coding RNA (STUB_LNC006745)
Source: RNAcentral
AAGAAAUUAAUAAUAUUGUUUGAAUGAGACAAAAAUGUCCCAAGGACAAGAAACAUCAAGGGUCAAGCAGUAAUUAUCACAUUGAAAGCUUUUUUGGACCACGUUUUCUUCUUACACAGUUUCACAAUCAUGAAAUUUUAGACAAUUUUUCCAUGCAUGUCGUUUUAUUAUUAUUAUAUAUACACUCAAUUGUGUUUUGAAUAUUUCUUACUGUUACCAGCAGGC